Molecule: ribosomal RNA, 494 nt
Filed under: uncultured bacterium
Lineage: Bacteria
Description: partial 16S ribosomal RNA
Rfam family: Bacterial small subunit ribosomal RNA
Source: RNAcentral
AUGAACGCUGGCGGCGUGCCUAAUACAUGCAAGUAGAACGCUGAAGGAGGAGCUUGCUCUUCUGGAUGAGUUGCGAACGGGUGAGUAACGCGUAGGUAACCUGCCUGGUAGCGGGGGAUAACUAUUGGAAACGAUAGCUAAUACCGCAUGACAACAGUUAUUGCAUGAUAACUGUUUAAAAGGGGCAACUGCUCCACUACCAGAUGGACCUGCGUUGUAUUAGCUAGUUGGUGAGGUAACGGCUCACCAAGGCGACGAUACAUAGCCGACCUGAGAGGGUGAUCGGCCAAACUGGGACUGAGACCCGGCCCAGACUCCUACGGGAGGCAGCAGUAGGGAAUCUUCGGCAAUGGACGGAAGUCUGACCGAGCAAUGACGCGUGAGUGAAGAAGGUUUUCGGAUCGUAAAGCUCUGUUGUAAGAGAAGAACGAGCGUGAGAGUGGAAAGUUCACACUGUGACGGUAUCUUAACAGAAAGCGACGGCUAACUACGUG